RNAcentral lists this ribosomal RNA (468 nucleotides) under Histeromerus mystacinus. RNAcentral's name for it is "partial 16S ribosomal RNA". Lineage: Eukaryota; Metazoa; Arthropoda; Insecta; Hymenoptera; Braconidae. The record is from RNAcentral.
CUGCCCAAUGAUAAUUUAUUUAAUGGCUGCAGUAUAAAUAACUGUACAAAGGUAGCAUAAUAAUUAGUUUUUUAAUUAAAAACUAGAAUGAAAGAUUAAAUGAAAUAUAAACUGUUUCAAUAAAAUUAAUUAAACUUAUUAUUUAAGUUAAAAAACUUAAAUUUUUAUAAAAGACGAUAAGACCCUAUAGAAUUUUAUUAUUUUAUAAUUAUAAUAUUAAUAAAUUAUUUAAUUUAAAUUAUAAAAUAAUUUAAUUGGGGUAAUUUAAAAAUUAAAAAAAUUUUUUUUAAAAUAAACAUUAAUUUAUGAAAAAUAAAUCCUAAAAUUUAGAUUAAUAAAUUAAAUUACCUUAGGGAUAACAGCAUAAUUUUUUUUGAAAGUUCUUAUUAAUAAAAAAGAUUAUGACCUCGAUGUUGAAUUAAGAUAUAAUUAAAAUGAAAAAAUUUUAAAAUUUAAGUCUGUUCGACU